Molecule: long non-coding RNA, 410 nt
Organism: Fukomys damarensis (Damara mole-rat)
Lineage: Eukaryota; Metazoa; Chordata; Mammalia; Rodentia; Bathyergidae
Exons: 3
Source: RefSeq, a predicted model, not a curated record
AAACUCUGUGCAAAAUAGAACUCUUUGUACAUUACCUCGCAUGGGUAUUUUGCUAUAGCAACUGUUUCCUGGCUCUUCCAUUGUAACUUCUGACCUUUCCUAUGAAGGACUUGCAUUUAGCACUUAGAUGAUACUAAUUCCAGCUCUACGAGGAAAAUUUGUUUUCCAACCUCAUCCAGGAUAUCACAUCACAACCUACCUCCCAUUCCCCUCCCUAAAUGGGAUCUGAUCCAAACCAUCCCACAGACUGAAGGGAGAAAGGGGAGUCAAUCACUUCAGCCAUCUAGGACCCAGAUUCCACGCUGGUGCCAAGAAGAGCAGCUGCCAGCAAACAGGAAAGGGGAAGCUCUGCCCUACCACACAUUCCUGCCAUCGUGUUGCCACCACAGGCCUGAAGUAACAGAGCAAAC